UACGAAGGGGGCUAGCGUUGCUCGGAAUCACUGGGCGUAAAGCGCACGUAGGCGGCUUUUUAAGUCAGGGGUGAAAUCCUGGAGCUCAACUCCAGAACUGCCUUUGAUACUGGGAAGCUUGAGUCCGGGAGAGGUGAGUGGAACUCCGAGUGUAGAGGUGAAAUUCGUAGAUAUUCGGAAGAACACCAGCGGCGAAGGCGGCUCACUGGCCCGGUACUGACGCUGAGGUGCGAAAGCGUGGGGAGCAAACAGG
Molecule: ribosomal RNA, 253 nt
Filed under: uncultured bacterium
Lineage: Bacteria
Description: partial 16S ribosomal RNA
Rfam family: Bacterial small subunit ribosomal RNA
Source: RNAcentral